CCUACGGGAGGCUGCAGUGGGGAAUAUUGGACAAUGGGCGAAAGCCUGAUCCAGCCAUGUCGCGUGUGUGAAGAAGGCCUUCGGGUUGUAAAGCACUUUCAGUGGGGAAGAAAGCCUUGGGGCUAAUACCCUCGAGGAAGGACAUCACCCACAGAAGAAGCACCGGCUAACUCCGUGCCAGCAGCCGCGGUAAUACGGAGGGUGCGAGCGUUAAUCGGAAUUACUGGGCGUAAAGCGCGCGUAGGCGGUCUGAUAAGCCGGUUGUGAAAGCCCCGGGCUCAACCUGGGAACGGCAUCCGGAACUGUCAGGCUAGAGUGCAGGAGAGGAAGGUAGAAUUCCCGGUGUAGCGGUGAAAUGCGUAGAGAUCGGGAGGAAUACCAGUGGCGAAGGCGGCCUUCUGGACUGACACUGACGCUGAGGUGCGAAAGCGUGGGUAGCAAACAGGAUUAGAUACCCUAGUAGUC
This 465-nucleotide ribosomal RNA is filed under the name Vreelandella stevensii. RNAcentral describes it as "partial 16S ribosomal RNA". It matches the Rfam family "Bacterial small subunit ribosomal RNA", at positions 338 to 795 of the family's 1533-position model. The record is from RNAcentral. Lineage: Bacteria; Pseudomonadati; Pseudomonadota; Gammaproteobacteria; Oceanospirillales; Halomonadaceae.